UACGUAGGCAGCGAGCGUUGUUCGGAAUUACUGGGCGUAAAGAGUGCGUAGGCGGUGCUUUAAGUUUGGUGUGAAAUCUCCCGGCUUAACUGGGAGGGUGCGCCGAAGACUGGAGUGCUUGAGUGUGGGAGAGGAAAGCGGAAUUCCUGGUGUAGCGGUGAAAUGCGUAGAUAUCAGGAGGAACACCUGCGGUGUAGACGGCUUUCUGGACCACGACUGACGCUGAGGCACGAAAGCGUGGGUAGCAAACAGG
Molecule: ribosomal RNA, 253 nt
Filed under: uncultured bacterium
Lineage: Bacteria
Description: partial 16S ribosomal RNA
Rfam family: Bacterial small subunit ribosomal RNA
Source: RNAcentral